GUUGCAAUGAGCAGUGCUUUCCCGUUUGAGUUGGAAAUACUCUGUGUCAUUAUGUCUGUGUGUUAAAAUAAUAGUAAAAAAAAUAUAUAUAAUUUUUUUUAGGGGCCUAUGAUUUGUUAAUCCGGCCCUGAUGGCUAUGGAGUGGCAGCGCAGGGAGGGACGCCGGAGGAGUAUCGCUUCAGCAACGACACGCGCAAAAGAAAAGCUACAAGAAUUCAGAAGAUCUGGAGAUUAAAGGUUGUAUAGGUGAUUUGCUUUUUUGGCCAUUUUUGCAAAAUUACUUGAAAUCCUUAUCAUAACCCGCUUACAGCCACUGAGUUAGAAGUACUGACAUGAAAAUUAAACAAGUCAAUCAUCUGUGGAACGGGCAGGGCUCGAAAAACUCCAGCCAAUCAUUUCCAUUGCCACCGAGUUGCAUUGGACAGUAAGUACGUCAAUCAAACGGUCGUACUGCACUCCCCCUCCCCCGCGCCCCGCGCGCGACCCCUUCGUGCAGUGCUCGUGACCCAGAGCAAGCUCCUGUUUGUUGUUAUCCUGCGGUACCUACUGGAACUAGUUAAUCCACAUUUGGACCUAGCAGUAGAAGACAAUUUCCAUGGCAGACAAAGGAAAACUCUUUUUCAGAGAGUAAUUGAUAAUAAAAACGCUGAAAGAGAAAAACUGAAAUCAAGAAUAAUCCUAGGCGCUGCUUUCGAACGUUGGCGGCAACUGAAGGACGAGAAGGGUCUAAAAACCGAUGCUUGUGUGGCGGUUGACCUAGUUUCAAAGUUUAUACCGUUUAUACUCGGUAAUACCGGUGUGGAGACGAGUGUAUUACUCGGUGUGAAAAUGUCCACACCGCGGCAACCCUAGUGAAAACCAGGACUUCCAAUACAAUUAUAUGAAACAAACAUACAUUUUCUAAAAAUAGUAAUGAUUUAUGUGACCGUUUAAUGUUUAUAACAUCUGGUCCAACCAUUGCAGCGAGAACGUAUUCUCAGCAGGGGGUGCUGGGAAAAAAAAAAAACUCAGCCUGCACUAGACUCGCAACUCGUUACAUUGAUAAAAAAAGAUGUAUAGCAGCGCAGCUCAAUUACACCAGUGCAUGCGCGGACAGUUGAAAAUCGAUCGUUCACAUCCAGCUGCUCACAGAACAAGUUUAGCGCACCACCGCUACCCUCACACUUUUUCAUGUAACCUUUUUUCAGCACUAG
RNAcentral lists this long non-coding RNA (1193 nucleotides) under Gadus morhua (Atlantic cod). RNAcentral's name for it is "lncRNA (ENSGMOG00000028383.1)". The record is from RNAcentral. Lineage: Eukaryota; Metazoa; Chordata; Actinopteri; Gadiformes; Gadidae.